RNAcentral lists this unclassified non-coding RNA (253 nucleotides) under uncultured Alphaproteobacteria bacterium. RNAcentral's name for it is "contains 16S-23S intergenic spacer region". It matches the Rfam family "Bacterial small subunit ribosomal RNA", at positions 524 to 776 of the family's 1533-position model. Lineage: Bacteria; Pseudomonadati; Pseudomonadota; Alphaproteobacteria. The record is from RNAcentral.
UACGGAGGGUGCAAGCGUUGUUCGGAAUUACUGGGCGUAAAGCGCACAUAGGCGGCGCAUCAAGUCAGGCGUGAAAGGCCUGGGCUCAACCUGGGAACGGCCUCUAAGACUGAUGAUCUCGAGUCCGGAAGAGGAUGGCGGAAUUCCCAGCGUAGAGGUGAAAUUCGUAGAUAUUGGGAAGAACACCGGUGGCGAAGGCGGCCAUCUGGUCCGGCACUGACGCUGAGGCGCGAAAGCGUGGGGAGCAAACAGG